GAGAAUGUAGUUCAAUGAUAAUAUGCUUGGCUAGUAUCCAUAAGGUCCUAGGUUCGAUUCCUGGUAAUGGGA
This 72-nucleotide transfer RNA is filed under the name Mus musculus (house mouse). RNAcentral describes it as "tRNA-Thr". The record is from RNAcentral. Lineage: Eukaryota; Metazoa; Chordata; Mammalia; Rodentia; Muridae.